Molecule: transfer RNA, 73 nt
Filed under: Harpegnathos saltator (Jerdon's jumping ant)
Lineage: Eukaryota; Metazoa; Arthropoda; Insecta; Hymenoptera; Formicidae
Rfam family: tRNA
About the family: Transfer RNA (tRNA) molecules are approximately 80 nucleotides in length. Their secondary structure includes four short double-helical elements and three loops (D, anti-codon, and T loops).
Source: Rfam by way of RNAcentral
CGUCAGAUAGCUCAGUGGUCUAGAGCAGUCGCCCGGCAAGCGAAAGACCCGGGUUCGAUUCCCGGUCCAGCGA